AUUGAACGCUGGCGGCAUGCCUUACACAUGCAAGUCGAACGGUAACGGGCCUUCGGGUGCCGCCGAGUGGCGGACGGGUGAGUAAUACAUCGGAACGUGCCCGAUCCUGGGGGAUAACGAGGCGAAAGCUUUGCUAAUACCGCAUACUAUCUACGGCUGACAGCAGGGGACCGCAAGGCCUCUCGCGGCCUUACCGGCCGAUGGCAGAUUGGGUAGUUGGAGGGAUAAAAGCGUACCAAGCCGACGAUCUGUAGCUGGUCUGAGAGGAUGAUCAGCCACACUGGAACUGAGACACGGCCCAGACUCCUACGGGAGGCAGCAGUGGGGAAUUUUGGACAAUGGGCGCAAGCCUGAUCCAGCCAUGCCGCGUGCAGGAUGAAGGCCUUCGGGUUGUAAAGUGCUUUUGUACGGAACGAAAAGCCUUCUUUUAAUACAGGAGGGUCAUGACGGUACCGUAAGAAUAAGCACCGGCUAACUACGUG
Molecule: ribosomal RNA, 482 nt
Filed under: uncultured bacterium
Lineage: Bacteria
Description: partial 16S ribosomal RNA
Rfam family: Bacterial small subunit ribosomal RNA
Source: RNAcentral